AGACGGCAGCAAUGCCGGAGUAAAGCUUGCUGUGAGGAGUCAGCAGAGGGCGUAGUACCCUCCAUUUGGAGGCGAAGGCC
This is a non-coding RNA of Desulfovibrio sp. An276, 80 nucleotides long. NCBI's taxonomy places the organism in Bacteria, Pseudomonadati, Thermodesulfobacteriota, Desulfovibrionia, Desulfovibrionales, Desulfovibrionaceae. The record is from Rfam.